RNAcentral lists this ribosomal RNA (449 nucleotides) under uncultured bacterium. RNAcentral describes it as "SSU rRNA". It matches the Rfam family "Bacterial small subunit ribosomal RNA", at positions 26 to 518 of the family's 1533-position model. The record is from RNAcentral.
AGAACGAACGCUGGCGGCAGGCUUAACACAUGCAAGUCGAGCGCUGUAGCAAUACAGAGCGGCAGACGGGUGAGUAACGCGUGGGAACAUACCCCAAGGUUCGGAAUAACUCAGGGAAACUUGAGCUAAUACCGGAUAUCUCCGAGAGGAGAAAGAUUUAUCGCCAUGGGAUUGGCCCGCGUUCGAUUAGCUAGUUGGUGUGGUAAUGGCGCACCAAGGCGACGAUCGAUAGCUGGUCUGAGAGGAUGAUCAGCCACAUUGGGACUGAGACACGGCCCAAACUCCUACGGGGGGCAGCAGUGAGGAAUUUUCGUCAAUGGGGGCAACCCUGAACGAGCAACGCCGCGUGCAGGAAGAAGGUUUUCGGAUCGUAAACUGCUUUUCUCGGGGAAGAGAACGGACGGUACCCGAGGAACUCGAGCCCCGGCUAACUACGCGCCAGCAGCCGC